CUGAGAACCACUGGGACACACCAUUGUCUUCUGCAGCCAACUGGCGGCCACGCUAUACUCUCUACUCAAAAGAUAGUUUCCUGAGACAAGGACUUUUCAAACUGUGGGUUACAAUACGAAUGUGGACCACGGCAGCAACUCGCUAGCAACACCGAGACAUCAGCAACAAGGGGAAGCCUGUGGCUGUGAAUGUGACCAUUUGAUCCAGGGGCCACUCCAGGCUCAGCCCUGGAGGUGAGGCCUGUGUGGUGAGUGAGCAGAACACUUGAGAACAUGCAUUCUGCAACCGCAUGUGCAAGAGACGUGAUAUUGCUGAGUGUCAGCAUGCAGAGCCAUCAGGAUGGAAGCCCAGGAGAGGCAGAGUGAGGACACGACAAGUUUCAGGCAGCUGGCUCUGAGCAGAGAGUGUCUGCAGUUACAGUCUUGGAGUCUUUGUGCUAAGAGCAGAAGAUAAUUCUCUAAAUACAGUAAUCCCCCUUAUCUGCAAGGAAUACAUUCAGGGAGGCCUGAAAUCACAGAUAGUACUGGGCCCUAUAUAUCCACCACGUUUUUGCCUAUACAUACAUACAUAUGAUAAAGUUUAACUUAUAAAUUAGGCAAAGCAAAAGAUUAACGGCAAUAAGUAAUAAAAUAGAACAAUUAUAAAAACAUACAGUAA
Microcebus murinus (gray mouse lemur) is the source of this 658-nucleotide non-coding RNA. The record is from RefSeq and is a predicted model, not a curated record. NCBI's taxonomy places the organism in Eukaryota, Metazoa, Chordata, Mammalia, Primates, Cheirogaleidae.